This 403-nucleotide ribosomal RNA is filed under the name uncultured Ceratobasidiaceae. RNAcentral describes it as "eukaryotic LSU rRNA". The stretch from base 1 to 105 matches the Rfam family "5.8S ribosomal RNA", at positions 50 to 154 of the family's 154-position model. The record is from RNAcentral. Lineage: Eukaryota; Fungi; Basidiomycota; Agaricomycetes; Cantharellales; Ceratobasidiaceae.
GAAAUGCGAUAAGUAAUGUGAAUUGCAGAAUUCAGUGAAUCAUCGAAUCUUUGAACGCACCUUGCGCUCCUCGGUAUUCCUUGGAGCAUGCCUGUUUGAGUAUCAUGAAAUUAUCAGAGCAAAUAUUUUGUUAAUUCAACUGCCUUUGCUUUGGACUUGGGGGCCUGCAGAUUUCACAGUCUGCUCCUCUUAAACGCAUUAGCUGGAUUCUCAGUGAGCUUGGUUCCACUCGGCGUGAUAAGUAUCACUCGCUGAGGACACCCGUUGAAAAAGGUGGCCAGGCUUGCGGAUGAACCGCUUCCAACGGUCUAUUGACUUAGACAAUGAAUUUACGAUCUGAUCUCAAAUCAGGUAGGACUACCCGCUGAACUUAAGCAUAUCAAUAAGCGGAGGAAAAGAAACU